GGAUUAGGCAUGCAAGUCGAACGAGGAUAUAUCCUUCGGGAUAUAAGCCGAGUGGCGCAAGGGUGAGUAAUGCAUAGAUCACGUGCCUCCAGGAUAAGGACAACUUUGUGAAAACGGAGCUAAUACUUACUAACACAGAAGAAAAUAAUUUUCUUUUAUCAAAUGGAGGGUAGCAAUAUCUUUCGCCUAAAGAGGGGUUUAUGUCCUAUCAGCUUGUUGGUGGGGUAAUGGCCUACCAAGGCAAAGACGGGUAGCCGGCCUUAGAGGGUGGUCGGCCACACUGGGACUGAGACACUGCCCAGACUUCUACGGAAGGCUGCAGUCGAGAAUCUUUCGCAAUGCCCGAAAGG
RNAcentral lists this ribosomal RNA (350 nucleotides) under uncultured Planctomycetota bacterium. Its description in RNAcentral is "bacterial SSU rRNA". It matches the Rfam family "Bacterial small subunit ribosomal RNA", at positions 46 to 382 of the family's 1533-position model. The record is from RNAcentral. Lineage: Bacteria; Pseudomonadati; Planctomycetota.